This 76-nucleotide transfer RNA is filed under the name Bacillota bacterium. Its description in RNAcentral is "tRNA-Pro". It matches the Rfam family "tRNA". From Rfam's summary of the family: Transfer RNA (tRNA) molecules are approximately 80 nucleotides in length. Their secondary structure includes four short double-helical elements and three loops (D, anti-codon, and T loops). Further hydrogen bonds mediate the characteristic L-shaped molecular structure. tRNAs have two regions of fundamental functional importance: the anti-codon, which is responsible for specific mRNA codon recognition, and the 3' end, to which the tRNAs corresponding amino acid is attached (by aminoacyl-tRNA synthetases). tRNAs cope with the degeneracy of the genetic code in two manners: having more than one tRNA (with a specific anti-codon) for a particular amino acid; and 'wobble' base-pairing, i.e. permitting non-standard base-pairing at the 3rd anti-codon position. RNAcentral also lists the same sequence under 1 other name. Lineage: Bacteria; Bacillati; Bacillota. The record is from RNAcentral.
CGGGAUGUGGCGCAGCUGGUAGCGCGCAUGCUUUGGGAGCAUGAUGCCGCAGGUUCAAAUCCUGUCAUCCCGACCA